Molecule: long non-coding RNA, 705 nt
Organism: Hibiscus syriacus
Lineage: Eukaryota; Viridiplantae; Streptophyta; Magnoliopsida; Malvales; Malvaceae
Exons: 6
Source: RefSeq, a predicted model, not a curated record
GUAUGCAGAAGAACAUGAAUAUUUGUGAAUCGCUCGACAAAUUGGUUCUCUGUUGCUCAUCUCUCAUAGUUGAAGAAAAUAAAUCCAAAGGUGAGGAGACUGGCGAGCACACUCUAGCAAUGGUUAAGGUAGAGAAAGGACUAGAAUCACCACUUCACAAUGAGAAAUAGUUGUCUAUCCAGCUAAAGCUAGAACUAGCAUAUGACACAAACCUGUACAAGGCUUCUCACCUGGUCAACAAUACGAAGGAAGAGAUACCGUUUUAUUCCAUGCCGGAUUACCAUUCUUGGAAGGAAAGUUUGGAUGGUGUGUGCCUAUGAAAGCAUGCAAGCUGGUUGUACCAGAUUAAACAUUUAGGAAUCACACAACUAACAACUCUAACCAGUCCAAUGAGUCUACUCUUGCUACUGCAUCACACAUUGAAUUGGAGCUGCAGAUAACUCCAUUGAAUCUAAGUGGCAAUUUUGUUGCAUGCACAAGCCAGGAUGGUCAUAAUUCGGACAAAUCAAAGGAAAACACUGCUGAUUUAACUGUUUUUGUGCAAAAUCUUCUUCAACAAAUGGUGAGUUAUAAUUGGAUCCUCUUUUGUUAGAUUUUUUAUUUAUGUUGACGGAAUUUUGUUUGCAGCAUCUAAGUUUCAAACAAUGUCUGAUUCUAUUAUCACCGGGAAUAUCCUUUCAAAUAUUCCCUUAACGCACCUCUUGA